AAAACCUGAUGAUCCUGGACUUUUAUCAUUUUUCAUUGCUUUUAAAACAUUUGAUGCCUCAUGUAGACAGAUUGGACCCUCUAGAUCAUCUGACUCCUCAUUUGUUAAUUUGUUAACAUUGUAUUUUUCAAAAACAGUAUCAAAAUUUUUAAUCUUAUCUGUAACAAUAUUUUUUUUUGAGUACAACUCUUGAUAAAAAAAUUUUAACCUCUUUGAGAAUAUCUUUUUGAUUAUUAAUCAUUUCUCCAUCAUCUUUUUGUACUUUAGGGAUAAUUUUAUUCGUAAAAUUUCU
RNAcentral lists this long non-coding RNA (292 nucleotides) under Mytilus galloprovincialis (Mediterranean mussel). Lineage: Eukaryota; Metazoa; Mollusca; Bivalvia; Mytilida; Mytilidae. The record is from RNAcentral.